UCGAUCCGGAUCUCCUCCUCGCUCUUUAUUGAACAAACAAACCCUCGUUGCUCUCAACUCUCAACUCUCAUCUCCAUGGCAACCUUGGAAGAGGGCAGAUCCCCGUUGUGCCAUUAGCCUCGUCUCCUCCUCGUCACUAGCGUCGUCACUAGCGCCGAUCUCCUCUGCAUCUUCCUGCCACCAUGCCCUAACCCUCACCAUUGCCUUCCUUGUCAUCGCGCUGCUACAUCCCCUCCACCGCGCCUCCGCCUCGCGUGUGCUACAUCCCUCGUUCGUGUUUGCCUCGAUUUUCCCUGCUGGUGAGUUCACCUCUGCUUUGCUCAAUUUUCCCUGCUGGUGCAUUCGUCUCUGCUGGGCAUAGCUCCACAAGAUCCCAGCCCCUUCAAUGGAAAGCCAGUCACGUGAAGAGGGAGGAUAGUUGUCAGAUAGUUGCUAAACAAAGAACAAGUAAAAAAGGUGUGACAACAGAAGUUUAAGAAGGGAGAAAAGCCCCCGCUGAGGGGUGUGUGAUAUUCACAAAACUAGUCGGUUUUGCCACUGAACUGAUCUGUAAAGAACUCCAAGCACUGAAACCACUACUUAGGUAACCAUUUUUGUAUGCUGCUGAGUUAAUUUCAUUUGAUAAAUCAUUGACAGUGAGUGGUCAUGAGCAAAGAGCAAUAUAUAUUAUAGCUACAGAUAUAUAUACAUACGAAUGUUUGACUUCCAAUAUAGACUUUGAAUUUAUUUUUUAUUUGAAUUAAAAAAAGGAGAAUUUCAAAUAUAUUAUCAGUUUGAAAUUUAUCUACGUUAUCAUUGAAUUAUG
Molecule: long non-coding RNA, 805 nt
Organism: Arachis duranensis
Lineage: Eukaryota; Viridiplantae; Streptophyta; Magnoliopsida; Fabales; Fabaceae
Exons: 3
Source: RefSeq, a predicted model, not a curated record